AUGGGUCUCUCCCCGCAGAGCAGACUUUGUCAUUGCGAGGGCUCUGGGCGUCCUUGCAGAAUGACUCCUUUUCCCCUUCUUUUUGCCAGAAACAGGAUUUUCCUUGGCUCUUCACCUGAGAAUCUGGGGAUACAACACGUGACAGCAUGGGGCUCCCCUAAGACUGUGGUCCCAGGCAUUUCUCCUCUCCAGCUCACCCACCUGUCACCCAGUGUGGACAUCGCCACCUCUGCGUCCUUGCCAUUUCCGGCUGCAGUGCUUCUCCCCAGGCUCCAGUGGGGUCCUGCUGAAUUCGUCUCAUGUGCAACCCGCUCCUUCCUGGCGAGUCCGGCGACCCGUGUCCUCGAGAAAAAAAACCACAGUUGCCUGAUGCCUGCUUCGUUCACGCCUCGUCUGAGCUGCCGCAGUCUCCUCGUUCCUGUCUGGGACCUAAAGCAUCUAUUUCUGAUCUUCGGGAAGCCAAAGGCCACAUCUGUGACAACGCCUUCAGAUUUUACCCAGAAAACCCACUUGGUUGGGCUUUGCUUCGCUGAUGUCUUGUCCUGUUUUCAAGCUGCAGUUGGGACGGUAGGGGGACGUGUGACCCUCUGCUGGGAUGGAGGCCCAGGGUGGAGGAGCUGGUGCCUGCUGGGAGGCCCAGGGCAGCCUGAGAAGGGGGGCUCUAUUAUUUUGGAUUUGCUGCUUGUUUGGAAGAGAAAAGCGUGCCGCUGUUUUGCACAUUCAUUUUCUCGACAAAGUAACAGGUUCCUGGAAAGACCACGUCUUUGGCCUGUCUGA
This 777-nucleotide long non-coding RNA is filed under the name Sus scrofa (pig). RNAcentral describes it as "lncRNA (ENSSSCG00060040404.1)". Lineage: Eukaryota; Metazoa; Chordata; Mammalia; Artiodactyla; Suidae. The record is from RNAcentral.